GUGAUGCUUAUCCUCUGACACCUUUGGACUGAGGAAGAAAAAGCCAAUGGGCAAAGGAGCUACUCCACUCUCAUCUGACACUUCAAAUCAAUAGGAUAAAGCCUUCUGAUUGAGUUCUGGUUGUGCCACACCUCAUGGAUUGGAGAAGCUCUCAAGAUGGAGAUGGGACUUGAGAAAAGAGAGAAAUGUGGGAAGAAACAUACCAAUCUAUGUAAAAUGAUGGUGUCUGUUCCGAAACAUCAGCAGGAAUUUGCAACAUCCAUGAAGUGGAAUCCAUGAGGCUAGCCCACUACACUGUACAUCCAAGAUGAUCUCUGCACUUCCUUCCUGCCCUCUAAAAAUGCGAAAUGUACCUAGCUCUCCUUCCUGACUGCCAGCCCUCCUGACCAAGAGUGACCCCAGGCCCACCAUCAGAUGGUUCACUGGGAUUCACAGAGGCAGUUGCCACAAAGAGCCAACAACCUUCCAUGGACUUCAACAUCAGCCUUCAUAGUUGCAUUCCAGCAGCUCAUUAGUGAUUUUUCUCUGAUCCUUUCUUGUCUUUAUUUCCUA
Neofelis nebulosa (Clouded leopard) is the source of this 552-nucleotide long non-coding RNA. RefSeq lists it as uncharacterized. The record is from RefSeq and is a predicted model, not a curated record. NCBI's taxonomy places the organism in Eukaryota, Metazoa, Chordata, Mammalia, Carnivora, Felidae. The transcript is spliced from 4 exons.